This 496-nucleotide ribosomal RNA is filed under the name uncultured bacterium. RNAcentral describes it as "partial 16S ribosomal RNA". It matches the Rfam family "Bacterial small subunit ribosomal RNA", at positions 28 to 506 of the family's 1533-position model. The record is from RNAcentral.
GAUGAACGCUGGCGGCGUGCCUAAUACAUGCAAGUCGAGCGAACAGACGAGGAGCUUGCUCCUCUGACGUUAGCGGCGGACGGGUGAGUAACACGUGGAUAACCUACCUAUAAGACUGGGAUAACUUCGGGAAACCGGAGCUAAUACCGGAUAAUAUAUUGAACCGCAUGGUUCAAUAGUGAAAGACGGUUUUGCUGUCACUUAUAGAUGGAUCCGCGCCGCAUUAUCUAGUUGGUAAGGUAACGGCUUACCAAGGCGACGAUGCGUAGCCGACCUGAGAGGGUGAUCGGCCAAACUGGAACUGAGCAACGGUCCAGACUCCUACGGGAGGCAGCAGUAGGGAAUCUGCCGCAAUGGGCGAAAGCCUGACGGAGCAACGCCGCGUGAGUGAUGAAGGUCUUCGGAUCGUAAAACUCUGUUAUUAGGGAAGAACAAAUGUGUAAGUAACUAUGCACGUCUUGACGGUACCUAAUCAGAAAGCCACGGCUAACUACGU